UGACUUAGCUUUGCCUCGACUAAACC
RNAcentral lists this small RNA (26 nucleotides) under Bombyx mori (domestic silkworm). Its description in RNAcentral is "ovarian small RNA-32044". The record is from RNAcentral. Lineage: Eukaryota; Metazoa; Arthropoda; Insecta; Lepidoptera; Bombycidae.